UUGUCCGGAAUUAUUGGGCGUAAAGAGCUCGUAGGCGGUCUGUUGCGUCCGCUGUGAAAACUCGGGGCUUAACCCCGAGCCUGCAGUGGAUACGGGCAGACUAGAGGUAGGUAGGGGAGAAUGGAAUUCCCGGUGUAGCGGUGAAAUGCGCAGAUAUCGGGAGGAACACCGGUGGCGAAGGCGGUUCUCUGGGCCUUACCUGACGCUGAGGAGCGAAAGCGUGGGGAGCGAACAGG
Molecule: ribosomal RNA, 236 nt
Filed under: uncultured bacterium
Lineage: Bacteria
Description: partial 16S ribosomal RNA
Rfam family: Bacterial small subunit ribosomal RNA
Source: RNAcentral